GAUGAACGCUGGCGGCGUGCCUAAUACAUGCAAGUCGAGCGAACGGACGAGAAGCUUGCUUCUCUGAUGUUAGCGGCGGACGGGUGAGUAACACGUGGAUAACCUACCUAUAAGACUGGGAUAACUUCGGGAAGCCGGAGCUAAUACCGGAUAAUAUUUUGAACCGCAUGGUUCAAAAGUGAAAGACGGUCUUGCUGUCACUUAUAGAUGGAUCCGCGCUGCAUUAGCUAGUUGGUAAGGUAACGGCUUACCAAGGCAACGAUGCAUAGCAGACCUGAGAGGGUGAUCGGCCACACUGGAACUGAGACACGGUCCAGACUCCUACGGGAGGCAGCAGUAGGGAAUCUUCCGCAAUGGGCGAAAGCCUGACGGAGCAACGCCGCGUGAGUGAUGAAGGUCUUCGGAUCGUAAAACUCUGUUAUUAGGGAAGAACAUAUGUGUAAGUAACUGUGCACAUCUUGACGGUACCUAAUCAGAAAGCCACGGCUAACUACGUG
This 497-nucleotide ribosomal RNA is filed under the name uncultured bacterium. RNAcentral describes it as "partial 16S ribosomal RNA". It matches the Rfam family "Bacterial small subunit ribosomal RNA", at positions 28 to 507 of the family's 1533-position model. The record is from RNAcentral.